AGCAGUAGCCACGGGAACACAGAGGGUGCGAGCGUUAAUCGGAUUUACUGGGCGUAAAGCGUGCGUAGGCGGCUUUUUAAGUCGGAUGUGAAAUCCCUGAGCUUAACUUAGGAAUUGCAUUCGAUACUGGGAAGCUAGAGUAUGGGAGAGGAUGGUAGAAUUCCAGGUGUAGCGGUGAAAUGCGUAGAGAUCUGGAGGAAUACCGAUGGCGAAGGCAGCCAUCUGGCCUAAUACUGACGCUGAGGUACGAAAGCAUGGGGAGCAAACAGGAUUAGAUACCCCCGUAGUCCCUGUCUCUUAUAC
This 303-nucleotide ribosomal RNA is filed under the name uncultured bacterium. Its description in RNAcentral is "partial 16S ribosomal RNA". It matches the Rfam family "Bacterial small subunit ribosomal RNA", at positions 507 to 807 of the family's 1533-position model. The record is from RNAcentral.